Molecule: long non-coding RNA, 696 nt
Organism: Mesocricetus auratus (golden hamster)
Lineage: Eukaryota; Metazoa; Chordata; Mammalia; Rodentia; Cricetidae
Exons: 4
Source: RefSeq, a predicted model, not a curated record
ACGAGAGGUCCCUCCAAAGGCUGGUCAGACAAGUGCACUGUGGAACCUGACCCCAGCCCGCUGUGCCCGACACCCUCUGCCAGCUGCAUGGGAUGUAGGGCAAAGGCUGGAGAGUCAGGCGAGGGGUCUGGGAAGAACCAGGGAGGAGUGGCUCCCUGGACAUGGCAGAGCUUUCAGUGCGAGCAGAGGGAGGUGGGGCCGUAGGGACUCUGGUAAUGGCACAGGAGGAAGGAAGGAAAGGCAGAGAGGGAAGGGAAGACCCAGGUGCUCUCCAGGGUGUGACGCCAGGCGCAGCUUGGUUCAGCAGUCAUGAAGACCAGACCUUAUUGUUCCCGUGAGCAACAGAGCAUUUCACUAUGCAGCCACAGAUUGACCUUGAACUCACCAUAAUCCUUCUGCUUCAGCUUCCUGAUCACAGAAUUACAGAAAAAGAGAGAAUUCCAACAGGCCACAAGGAAGCUUCCGCAGUGCAGAUACUCCCUUCAGUGUCCUUCAAAAGCACAGUGGCAGCCACGAAGAACAAGGAGGAAACUGCACCCCUGUGUCAGCACUUACCUGUGUGAGCUGCGCUGACUUGGCCUUGGAAGCCCCUGGGAGGAACCCUGCAGAAUGCUGUUUGUUUUAUAACUUUCCCUAUAGCCUCCGUUGUUUGUGGUUUCAAAUUUUGCUAAGUAAAAUUAGUCUUAACAAUCAUAA